GAGAGACCAGAUUGCUUAAUUUAACAGGGCACAGGGGAUGUUUUAAUGUUUUAAUGUUUUCCCCAACAACACAUUACAGUAUUCUUCCUAGAAUUGAUUCAACAAAAUUUGCUGGAUAAAAGGCCAAAAACAGAAGAUAUAACACAUCUAGAACCACCAGACUACUAGAACCAAAUUGUUUAACUUUGGUUCAACAAAAUUUGCUGGACAAAGGGCAAAAAAACAGAACAUAUAACACAUCCAGGUUAUAAACAAAUACAACACAAUAUAGAAUCUAAAAUUCAAAGUUUUAAAGUAAUAAACAUCCACAAAUACAAAUCCAUAACAUAAUUCUACAAUUUAAAGCUCAAAUUUCCAGCCACUAGUGCUAAAGACUAAACUCUGAAUCAUCCACUUCAUUUGACUGUUGCUCACUCAUCCAACUCUCAUCAAUCAAAUGCUCUGCAGAAAGUAUUGCUUCCUCUGGAAUUCCAUCGACAAAAAAUGUGUAAAUCAUAAACAUAAUGAACAAGACAACCAAUUAGUGAUAAAUUGAUAAUAAGAACAAUACAAUAAACUAUAAAUAAUAAAAUUGAAGCAUAACAGAGUAUAGAUACUAAAAAUCACAGAGUUUAGCUAUUAAAGUCACAAAGUAUAGAUAUUAAAAUUACAAACAAAGCAAAACAACACAUAAAUUGCAAACACAGUCUAAUUAAAUUGCGAAGACAGUCACAGUGAGUAUCCUAACCGAAUUUCGUUAAUCUAUAUGAAGAGAACAUUUCUUAUGCUGAUGAAGAAAAUUACAGGACAUUAUUAAUCAAGAAUUCAUAAGAUUAAGAUUUUAAUCAAGACAUUAUUGAUCAAGAAUUCAUAAGACUAUAUGAAGAGACAUUAUUAAUCAAGAAAAUUAUAGAACAUUAACUUUGAAUUCUUAACAAGAACAUUAUUAAUCAUGAAUUCAAGAAAACCGUAGGACUGCAGCAAAUCAAAACAAAUUUGGUUGUUUUUGUUUUGUUUUUAUUUAUUUUUCUAUUCAGCUCAAAAUAACCCAGCCGAAGCUCAACUAAGCAAAGCAAAACAAAAUAUCCUCAGCCCUCGAAUGUCCAAAAGAUAAGAUGAAUAAUGAAUCAAAAGGGAUGAGGCCAAAGCAGAAAGAUGCAGUUUUUUUUUUCCUCCAGUAGUCAGUACCACCUUUUUAUUAACACAACCCCACAACCACAAACUAAAACAUAAUUAAUUAAUACCCAGCCGAAGCUCAUAAAAGUACCUAAAUGCAUCAGUAACAAGAAAAGUUGCAAACUUUUGAUGAAUUAAAUAAAUAACAAAGAACCAACUUUUUGCUUACCAGAAGAAAUGGAUCCAAGAAACCACAAAACCAACUACAACCCACACUAAAUACAGAGACAAGGUCAAGCUAUAAGCUAGGCAGCAACCCUUUGGCUAGUUAUACUUCAAAUUCAAUUAUGAGCUUACUCACUAACCAACUCUUAAUGCACAAAACCAACAAUGCGCUUUAGAAGAAAAAUGGCAUCUGUUCUGUUUUAGACAACAGUUUCUAGAUUUUUGGUCACAUCAAAGGAGAGAAAAAAGUCUCCUUGUGCCAGAAAAACAAAGAACAAAACGAGGCAAAUAAUUCAGAAAACAAAAAGCUUAUAAUUAGUCAAGUGCUCUCAUAUAUACAAAGAAAACCAUGUCUGAGGGAAAAUCACAUUGUGCCAGAAGCAAUACAAGCUCAAAGCAUAAAAGCACGAAAAUUGCAAAGAGGGAAAAUCAAAGUGUAAUAGAGCAUAAAUUGUAAAGAGAAAAGCCGAAACUCACAAAUAUUCACAGCGACAGCUGAAGUAUAUGCUGAUGAACACAGAACACAGCCACUACUGAGGUGGAUUUCAACCCCUUUUGCUGGCCGCGACAGAGUGAGAGAUGAGACGAGUGAUGCUUGCUGAUGAGUGAUGAAACGAACAAAGCCUCACCGUGAAGGUGAUGACAGGCCAAGCCGCGAAGAACUGAUCUGAUCCUUCGAAGAAGAGAUUACAGGAGAGUUGAAGAGAGAGUGUGAAAGAUUAAGUGAGGACUGAGGAUUGAGGAACGAGUCACGACUCACGGGUGAGAGAGAUUGAGAGAGGAACAGAUUACGGAUGAGACUUGAGAGAUUGAGAGGAGAAAUUACAGAUUUACAGUAGAGUUCAGAGUUGAAGGAGAAAUUUCGAGAGAGGAACGAGAGAGAUCUAGGGUUCACUUUUGUUUUUUUUUUCUAUUUAUAUUUACGAAUAAAAAUUAAUAUUAAAAUAAAUAAUAUCCGGGUCCGAGUUUCGGAUUUGCCGGUUCACCUGAAACGGGAUCCGGACUUGGAAAUAUGCGGGUUGUCAAAAAUUGAUCUGGAUUCCGGAUAAAAAUUAUUUCGGUGCGGGUUGAACUCGGACCGAAUUUUUCGGGUUCAGUCCGGGUCUGAUCCAGGUCCGGGUUUGGUUGCCAUCCCUAGAGUUUUGAAGGUUGGACCAAAAUCUAGCUUCAAAUGAAAUAUCAUGACCCAAUUAUGUGAGAUUUGAAUAAGGUGGUAGACUUUAAAAUAAUCAUACAAGUGAUUUACGCAAUUAGCAUAGGCUAUAAAUAGGAAACUAUUCUAGUUAUAAACGAUUGUGUAAUAUUAUGUCACACUUUUAAAUUAUAUCAGUCAUAAAAUGGCUGUCUUAUUGCUUAUUUUAUGUAUUAAAUAUCAUCUAAUUAAUCUUCGAUCUCGUUUAUUUCCUCCGUAAGAUUCUCAUAGAUUUUAAAAAAUAUUGUAGCGAUAUUAUGAUUAGAUUCAAUAAUUAAACACAUAAUAAACAGUUCUGCUUAACAUAUAUAAGAGUGGUGUUAUACUUAUUCAAAUGGAAUAUGCAUUCCAGCUGAUGUGUGACUAAUCGAAUUUCACCAUUUGAAUUAUGAAUCAUCAUUUACCUCGUCAAUUGCAAUAAAAACUAAGGGCCGGUUUGGUAAAGUCAUAGUUUUUAAAAUAAUUGUUGUUAGCUAUAUUAUAGAAAUAAUCAUAUGUAGAAAGAAUCAGUUAGACGUUUAGUGAAAUUUAUUUUUGAAAGUAUUAUGAAUUUUAAAAGUAGUAGUAUGUAUUUGGUAAAUUUACAAUUAAAUUAUUGUAUGAAUGUAAAUGAUUAAAUUGGACAUAAUGUCAGAAUAAAUUUAUUUACAU
Molecule: long non-coding RNA, 3163 nt
Filed under: Citrus x clementina
Lineage: Eukaryota; Viridiplantae; Streptophyta; Magnoliopsida; Sapindales; Rutaceae
Description: Citrus clementina (C. clementina) long non-coding RNA (CCLE_LNC001431)
Source: RNAcentral